RNAcentral lists this unclassified non-coding RNA (226 nucleotides) under uncultured Russula. RNAcentral describes it as "sequence contains ITS2". The record is from RNAcentral. Lineage: Eukaryota; Fungi; Basidiomycota; Agaricomycetes; Russulales; Russulaceae.
AUACUCUCAACCUUCUUGGUUUCUUUGACCACGAAGGCUUGGACUUUGGAGGUUUUUCUUGCUGGCCUCUUUUGAAGCCAGCUCCUCCUAAAUGAAUGGGUGGGGUCCGCUUUGCUGAUCCUCGACGUGAUAAGCAUUUCUUCUACGUCUCAGUGUCAGCUCGGAACCCGCUUUCCAACCGUCUUUGGACAAAGACAAUGUUCGAGUUGUGACUCGACCUUACAAA